UACGUAGGGUGCGAGCGUUGUCCGGAAUUAUUGGGCGUAAAGAGCUCGUAGGCGGUGUGUCACGUCUGCCGUGAAAACCUGCAGCUUAACUGUGGGCGUGCGGUCGAUACGGGCAUCACUGGAGUUCGGCAGGGGAGACUGGAAUUCCUGGUGUAGCGGUGAAAUGCGCAGAUAUCAGGAGGAACACCGGUGGCGAAGGCGGCAUCCUGGACCAAUAUUGACGCUGAGGAGCGAAAGCCAGGGGAGCAAACGGG
Molecule: ribosomal RNA, 254 nt
Filed under: uncultured bacterium
Lineage: Bacteria
Description: partial 16S ribosomal RNA
Rfam family: Bacterial small subunit ribosomal RNA
Source: RNAcentral